RNAcentral lists this long non-coding RNA (573 nucleotides) under Vigna radiata. RNAcentral describes it as "long non-coding RNA (VRAD_LNC004795)". The record is from RNAcentral. Lineage: Eukaryota; Viridiplantae; Streptophyta; Magnoliopsida; Fabales; Fabaceae.
UGUAUAGAACACAUAGGAUGGAAUAUAUGUAUUGCGUUCGCUUAGUUUAUAAUUAUGAUAGCAUGAUUAGCCUUCGCUUAGUCGGUUAGCUGUGCUGGAUUAGAGGCUAGAGUAGUUUAUUUAUGAGACUCUUGUACUUUAACUGCCUUACUGCUGCUCUGAUUUGGCUCAAUAUUUAAUCUGUUGUGUGCUUACGAUUGGGUAUACGCUUAGUUGCCUAAUUGAUGUUUAAUCUUCGCUUAGUUGAUUAGACAGUAUGGUGCAUGACUGAUUAGAUUUGAGCAUUGCAUUCACUUAGUUUGCAAUUUUGAAGACCGAAUUAGCCUUCGCUUAGUUGGGUGAUUCGUGUUGGAUUUGGAUAAGAGUAGUGUGUACUUGUCGUUAAUCUGUGAUUGGAAGCAUAGUAAUUGAGUUAAUGACCAACCGUUUUCAUUCUGCAUUUAAUUCCAUUUUUACAUCUGUGUUUGCAAUUCCGUUUUUACAUUUCUGUUGCAUCCGUGUUUUAAUUUAGUUAUCCACAUUCACAAUCCUUUCACAAACCCCCCACUACGUGUUAGACCUAAUUCCUGAACC